RNAcentral lists this ribosomal RNA (483 nucleotides) under uncultured bacterium. RNAcentral describes it as "bacterial SSU rRNA". It matches the Rfam family "Bacterial small subunit ribosomal RNA", at positions 23 to 507 of the family's 1533-position model. The record is from RNAcentral.
CUCAGAUUGAACGCUGGCGGCAUGCCUUACACAUGCAAGUCGAACGGUAGAGUAGCAAUACUCGAGAGUGGCGAACGGGUGAGUAACAUAUCGGAACGUGCCCAAUCGUGGGGGAUAACGUAGAGAAAUUUACGCUAAUACCGCAUACGAUCUAAGGAUGAAAGCGGGGGAUCGCAAGACCUCGCGCGAUUGGAGCGGCUGAUAUCAGAUUAGGUUGUUGGUGAGGUAAAAGCUCACCAAGCCGACGAUCUGUAGCUGGUUUGAGAGAACGACCAGCCACACUGGGACUGAGACACGGCCCAGACUCCUACGGGAGGCAGCAGUGGGGAAUUUUGGACAAUGGGCGAAAGCCUGAUCCAGCAAUGCCGCGUGCAGGAAGAAGGCCUUCGGGUUGUAAACUGCUUUUGUACGGAACGAAACGGUCCGCUUUAAUACAGUGGGCUAAUGACGGUACCGUAAGAAUAAGCACCGGCUAACUACGUG